Molecule: RNA transcript, 2480 nt
Organism: Eriocheir sinensis (Chinese mitten crab)
Lineage: Eukaryota; Metazoa; Arthropoda; Malacostraca; Decapoda; Varunidae
Gene name: heme peroxidase 2-like
Exons: 17
Source: RefSeq, a predicted model, not a curated record
GGACCAAACUGUCAGUGACUGGGUGAUGGGGGAAGUGGCGGGGGACUGGCUCACCCUCACCGUCCAUGGACUGACGCCUUCAAGGAAGUAUUUGCACAAGAUGCACUCUCACAAUGUCAAAGGUUUUGGUCCAUUCUCCUCCGUGGAAAGCUUCACGACUUCCAGCUGUUGACAAGAGCAUCGGUGAGCCCCCAGGCUGGUGUGUGGAGCGAGAGGCCUGAUUGUGCUGGUGAUCGCUGGCGUGGCAGGAGCCAUGACCAGCUGGGGCUUUGGCCACCACACUGUACUGCCGCGGGUCAAGGCGGAGCCCAGGCCAAGCAUUGUUGUUGGCGGCAGCUGCAGUGAGAGCAACAAGCCUGGCGUCCAGCCUCCAGACCUGUGGAUCCAUCACGGCCACUUGGAGCUGAAGAACUUUGACAAGGGUGAGCGCAGCAACUCCCCCAACCACGCCUCCAUCAUCCAGCACACAGGAGUCGCGUCACAUCACAAUGGGACCAAAAAAGGACGAGAAGGGACAAGACAAGAAGAAAAGGUCUUCUGCUGCCGCUGCUGCCUCUCCUGAUGAUGAUGAGCAACAAGAAGACACUCAAGAACAACCUGCCAAGAAAGUGAAGGGACGAUCCAAGGAGAGGUCAUCGUCUGCUACCGGGGAGACACCCCCUCCUCCAGCCCUCUUGCGUCACCAAUCCACUUGGACACAGAGCCCCAACCUGGUCAUGAUGAUGCUGGGGGGCGCGGCAGGUCCCUGGUACCCCCGCCUGGUUCAUGGCCGCCUCGCACAAGACCAAGGUUGUCGCAAAGAACAUAUCCAGAAUUGCACUCAUUUCCGAGGAGGCGACGAAAUACACGGCACAACAGGUCAGAAGGUCAAGGAACGCCCCAUUGCCAGCACCUUCUACGCACCCUUCGACCUUUACAAGCGAGGCAAGUUCGACGAGAUCCUUGAGGGGAUGGUCAGCUCCCACGCCCAGAACGAGGACAUGGCCAUUUCCGAAGCCAUGACCAGCAAGAUGUUCGAGGACGCUAAGACUGGUGUUGGCCUGGACCUGGCGGCACAGAUCCUGCAGCAGGGGCGUGACCACGGCAUCGCUGGAUACAACCGCUGGAGGCACCUCUGCGGCCUCCCGAAAGCUGCCUCCUUCCAAGGCCUGAGUGACGUCGUUGCCCCGGAAAACAUCAAGAAACUACAAGGGAUUUAUAAGCAUGUGGAUGAUGUGGAUCUCUUCACCGGUGGACUCGCGGAAAAGCCAAACUGUGGAGCGCUGGUCGGGCCCACGUUUGGCUGUUUGAUUGGUCGCCAGUUCCACCACCUGAGGCGAGGCGAUCGUUACUGGUAUGAGGACGACAUCCCGCCCUCCUCAUUCACUAAGGAACAACUUUACGAGCUCUGCAAGACCAGCCUGGGACGUGUGAUCUGCGACAGCAGCGACAAGCUCCAGCACGUCCAGCCCAAGGUCAUGCUGGAGGCUGAUUCCUUCCUGAAUGCCCCAAUGGCCUGCCAGGGGAAGCAUAUCAAGGGUGUGGACCUGAAGAAGUGGAAGACCGCCAGCCCCAACUUCAUCAUUCCCGACAAGAUGCUUCAGGAGAGCAUUGAGAGGGCCAGGCGCGACAUCACCAACAUGAGGGACUCCGAGUGGAACCUCUGGGAAGCACGGCUAUCAAAACCCCGAGCUACGUCAAUCACAGGUCAGCCGCUUCCCUCCCCUCGGCUAAUCUCUACGAACAUGCACAACGAUGUCUCGGCUCCUCAUGUUCGCUACACCCUCAUGGUCAUGCAAUGGGGGCAGCUUAUCGACCAUGACAUCAUCUUCACGCCCAUCAACAAAGGGUUCCAGGACUCCAUUCUUGACUGCCGGCGCUGCGACUCACCCCAGACGGUUCACCCCGAGUGCUUCCCUAUCGGCAUUCCCUCCAAUGACCCGUUCUUUCCACCAGUCAAUAUCUCCUCUGGGCAGCCUUUCUGUAUCCCUCUGACGCGCUCCAUGCCGGGACAGCUGACUCUAGGUUACCGAGAGCAGAUGAACCAGGUCACUGCAUUUGUGGAUGCCUCACACACCCAUGGCUCAGACAAGUGUGAACAGAGACAGCUGAGAAUGCUAACGGUCACGCUUGCCAAGAUGCUCUGCGAUAACUGUGAUAAUGUGGAGAGUGAGCAGCGGUCGGUCCGUCUUUGACCUUCCUGACCCCUUCCUGAACCCUCGUGUGUCCCACCGUGACCUGCCGGGGAUCAACCCGGAGCUGUGGAAGGAGCGCGUGUCAUGUGGGGUCGGCAAGACUGAUAUUGACAUCGGGGCAGCCGAGCGCAUAUCACCCUGUGUCAUGUGCACCUGUACCAAGGAAGGGAACAACUUUACGAGCUCUGCAAGACCAGCCUGGGACGUGUGAUCUGCGACAGCAGCGACAAGCUCCAGCACGUCCAGCCCAAGGUCAUGCUGGAGGCUGAUUCCUUCCUGAAUGCCCCAAUGGCCUGCCAGGGGAAG